GAACGAACUCUGGUAUUGAUUGGUGCUUGCAUCAUGAUUUACAUUUGAGUGAGUGGCGAACUGGUGAGUAACACGUGGGAAACCUGCCCAGAAGCGGGGGAUAACACCUGGAAACAGAUGCUAAUACCGCAUAACAACUUGGACCGCAUGGUCCGAGUUUGAAAGAUGGCUUCGGCUAUCACUUUUGGAUGGUCCCGCGGCGUAUUAGCUAGAUGGUGGGGUAACGGCUCACCAUGGCAAUGAUACGUAGCCGACCUGAGAGGGUAAUCGGCCACAUUGGGACUGAGACACGGCCCAAACUCCUACGGGAGGCAGCAGUAGGGAAUCUUCCACAAUGGACGAAAGUCUGAUGGAGCAACGCCGCGUGAGUGAAGAAGGGUUUCGGCUCGUAAAACUCUGUUGUUAAAGAAGAACAUAUCUGAGAGUAACUGUUCAGGUAUUGACGGUAUUUAACCAGAAAGCCACGGCUAACUACGUGCCAGCAGCCGCGGUAAUACGUAGGUGGCAAGCGUUGUCCGGAUUUAUUGGGCGUAAAGCGAGCGCAGGCGGUUUUUUAAGUCUGAUGUGAAAGCCUUCGGCUCAACCGAAGAAGUGCAUCGGAAACUGGGAAACUUGAGUGCAGAAGAGGACAGUGGAACUCCAUGUGUAGCGGUGAAAUGCGUAGAUAUAUGGAAGAACACCAGUGGCGAAGGCGGCUGUCUGGUCUGUAACUGACGCUGAGGCUCGAAAGUAUGGGUAGCAAACAGGAUUAGAUACCCUGGUAGUCCAUACCGUAAACGAUGAAUGCUAAGUGUUGG
This 797-nucleotide ribosomal RNA is filed under the name Lactiplantibacillus plantarum. RNAcentral's name for it is "bacterial SSU rRNA". It matches the Rfam family "Bacterial small subunit ribosomal RNA", at positions 64 to 826 of the family's 1533-position model. Lineage: Bacteria; Bacillati; Bacillota; Bacilli; Lactobacillales; Lactobacillaceae. The record is from RNAcentral.